UUGUUCCUACAAUAAAGUCCAUGGUUGUGAUGCUCACAGUGUAUGAGACCUAAUAUCCCACCAUGCUGUCCCCUAUUUCUAUUCAAGAGUCAUACCAAAUGCUAAAUUAUACUUUCUUCAAUAAAAAAAAGAAAAAGAUUUAAAUAACACUGUCCCCACGCCCCUCAAUUCUCUUGGUUUUCUGAAAUCAGAAUGAAUCAACACAACCAAUAAGGAACCUGCUAGAAACUUGUAUCCCAGAGUCGAAGUAUCUCAAAAGACUAAUCCAUUUCUGAUUUUGUUUUUGUUUUUGUUUUUUUUUAAAGCUAUGAAGCUGCAGCCCUGUUUACAUUCCAGUGAAGUAGUUUAGUAAUUUAUAGCUAAUUUGUCAAUGGGCAUGCAGCUGUAGGCUGUGCAGUUUGAAAACAAAAAAAGAAUAUACCUCUCCCUUCAUGUUUACAUAGGCUCUGAAAGCCUGGUGUAGCGCAGGAUGCGAGCCCCCAGAGUCAUUAGGAAGGUCCACCAGCCUCUGAGGGUGGAGGGAUGUUUGCAUUAUAACCCAACACAUCAUUAAGGACACAAUUGUUAUUUAAUGUGGCACAAUCAUCUUUCUACCCUUCGUGAAAUGCACUUAACUCUAUUUUGUGCCGAUUUCUCCUUCCUCAAAUCCCCUCUAGAUCCUCCCAGAAGGACCACAGCUUCUGUUGGUGAGGAUGGCAGUACCCGGAGCCAAUGCAGACACCGUUCAUCCAUCUGCAGGCACCGCAGGGGCCAGCGGCCAGACCACCACUUCCCAGUCCCGGAAGCUGUGGCAUCUAUAAAUAACAUUGUAGCACUACAUAAGGUGAGAGAAACCAGUUCUCCACAGAGUGUGCAAUGAAGAAUUUUGAAUAAAAGGGGGUUUAAAUGGUAGUUUGGUUUCAAUAGUAAAAUUAAAAAGAAGAUCAAACCACAAAAGAGAAACAAGCAGAUGUUGCUCUGAUAGCUGGAUUCCUAAGGAAAUCAACUAUAGAUUUCAUAAAGUAUUGAUACUGGGCUACAUAAUCAACAUGAUUUUGCCAGUAUCUAAAAGUCAUUAGGAAAGGCAAGAGUAUCCAGUGUGUGCUGCUGUCUCCCCUGAAAUCUCCACGCAGAUCAUUCUGUAUAACUUAAUUAGCGAAGUUAAAAUUAAGAUGAGACUCCAGUGUGUUUAGGCGAAACAAUUUCUGUGAGAGGACACUUCAUUAAAACAUUUAAUAAUGUGACAACUUCUGCUUAUCAAACAGCUCGCUGAAAGAAAAAAGUAUUUUUUUUGCCAAUUAAUAAAA
RNAcentral lists this long non-coding RNA (1286 nucleotides) under Mus caroli (Ryukyu mouse). RNAcentral's name for it is "predicted gene 28140 (MGP_CAROLIEiJ_G0004360.1)". The record is from RNAcentral. Lineage: Eukaryota; Metazoa; Chordata; Mammalia; Rodentia; Muridae.